RNAcentral lists this long non-coding RNA (205 nucleotides) under Elaeis guineensis (African oil palm). Its description in RNAcentral is "long non-coding RNA (EGUI_LNC081321)". The record is from RNAcentral. Lineage: Eukaryota; Viridiplantae; Streptophyta; Magnoliopsida; Arecales; Arecaceae.
UGGUGAUGUUCGUAAAAUUCAAACCGCAUGUAUAUGAACGAUCUAAAACUAUAUGUCUUUUGAUAUUCAUUCUUAAAGUCUUUAAGUACACUACUAUAAAAAAAAACCUAUGGUAGUGGUUUGAAACAGCUGCCAUAGCCUACGGCAAUGGUUGUAUAACUAUUACCAUUGUAGCCGUCGUCGUAGCCUAUGGUAGAAGUUUUUU